RNAcentral lists this ribosomal RNA (500 nucleotides) under uncultured bacterium. RNAcentral's name for it is "partial 16S ribosomal RNA". It matches the Rfam family "Bacterial small subunit ribosomal RNA", at positions 30 to 523 of the family's 1533-position model. The record is from RNAcentral.
AUUGAACGCUGGCGGAAUGCUUUACACAUGCAAGUCGAACGGCAGCACGGGGGCAACCCUGGUGGCGAGUGGCGAACGGGUGAGUAAUACAUCGGAACGUGCCCAGUCGUGGGGGGUAACGUAGCGAAAGUUACGCUAAUACCGCAUACGAUCUACGGAUGAAAGCGGGGGACCGUAAGGCCUCGCGCGAUUGGAGCGGCCGAUGUCAGAUUAGGUAGUUGGUGAGGUAAAGGCUCACCAAGCCGACGAUCUGUAGCUGGUCUGAGAGGGCGACCAGCCACACUGGGACUGAGACACGGCCCAGACUCCUACGGGAGGCAGCAGUGGGGAAUUUUGGACAAUGGGCGCAAGCCUGAUCCAGCCAUUCCGCGUGCAGGACGAAGGCCUUCGGGUUGUAAACUGCUUUUGUACGGAACGAAAAGGCUCUGGUUAAUACCUGGGGCUCAUGACGGUACCGUAAGAAUAAGCACCGGCUAACUACGUGCCAGCAGCCGCGGUAA